UUUGGGUUUAGGGUUUACCCUUUGGGUUUUAGGUCUAGGAUUUGGGUUUAGGGUAUAGGUUUUGGGUUUAGGAUUUACGGUUUGGGUUUAGGAUUUACCGUUUGGACUUAUGGUUAAAAUUUUGGGUUUAGGGUAUAUAAUUUGGAUUUAAGGUUUAUGGUUUGGGUUUAGGGUCUAGGACUUGGGUUUAGGGUAUAGAGUUUAGGUUUAUAGUCUAGUUUUUGGGUUUAUGGUAUAUAAUUUGGGUUUAGAAUCUAUGAUUAGGGUAUAGGGUUUGGGUUUAGGGGUUUGGAUUUGGGUUUAAAAUUUAGGGUAUAGGGUUUAGAAUUUAAGAUUUAGGGUUUAGGUGGAAGCGUUAGCGUCGUUAAAAUUAGUCUUUUUAUUUUUUGUAGCUAUUUUUUAUUUAAUUUAGUAUUUUUUAAUUAAUAAUCUAUGUGGAAAUUUGAUUGGUCCUAAAUGGUGGGGUGAAUUUAUAGGUUCACCCUAGGGGGUGAACCUAAGUUCUGU
Molecule: long non-coding RNA, 507 nt
Filed under: Brassica rapa (field mustard)
Lineage: Eukaryota; Viridiplantae; Streptophyta; Magnoliopsida; Brassicales; Brassicaceae
Description: long non-coding RNA (BRAP_LNC003514)
Source: RNAcentral